GAUCAGGGGAGUCACUUCAUUGACUCUGGGAACUGGCAGCUUAUUUUUCCUCUCUCUUAGGAGCUCACCGGAGGUUUGUGGUGUUACCAGGGCACUUUCGGUCGGAGUUGCUCUGCGCUCCCCUCCUGCAGCUCCUCCAGGCACCAGAAGCUCCAGAGAAGGUUGGCCUUUUAGGUCUUGAGCUGAACGCUGAGGCUACGAACGGUUCUUCUUUUGACUUCAUCCCACACCAGUGUGAUGCUCCUCUGAAACCAGGUUAGAGAAAACUGAAGAAUGAAAAA
Molecule: long non-coding RNA, 281 nt
Filed under: Struthio camelus australis
Lineage: Eukaryota; Metazoa; Chordata; Aves; Struthioniformes; Struthionidae
Description: lncRNA (ENSSCUG00000013996.1)
Source: RNAcentral